This 503-nucleotide long non-coding RNA is filed under the name Monodelphis domestica (gray short-tailed opossum). RNAcentral's name for it is "lncRNA (ENSMODG00000037412.1)". Lineage: Eukaryota; Metazoa; Chordata; Mammalia; Didelphimorphia; Didelphidae. The record is from RNAcentral.
GGAAGUGAUAUAAAAAAUGGUCUAUAUAUUUUGCAUCACUUCCUCUCUCCUGUCUCUUUUCUCAGAGAGGUGGCUCUGGCUCUUUUGGUGGAGAGGUGGCUGGUGGCAGUGUGCUGGGCAUCUUGGCGUCUUGGCAUGGCUGCAGCUAUUGUCCAGGUUUGGCGGUGAGAGUCCUUGAUACAAUACUGGGAGAAGCUUAGUAGCGUGGUUCAGGGGAAGAUGACUUUGGCAGCUUCCUGGUGCCACCUCUGGGGAAGGACGAUGCCAAGGAACUGGCUCUGGCUGGAGAAGGAUGACUGGGGCGGCCGGUGGCAUCUAGCUGAAGGGAAUGGACGUGUUCAGCCAAGACAAGAGAAGACUUGGGCAACAACCUUGAGCUGCCUUCAGAUUGUGAAGAUUCUACUCCUGGCAGAACAAGCAGAUAAGGACAAUUCGUUCCAAUGGCUAUAAAGGAAGCUGAAGCAGGAGCUGAGGAGCGCUUAGAGCUUGGUUGGACAAUGAAA